This 3685-nucleotide long non-coding RNA is filed under the name Haliotis rufescens (red abalone). Its description in RNAcentral is "uncharacterized LOC125373210". Lineage: Eukaryota; Metazoa; Mollusca; Gastropoda; Lepetellida; Haliotidae. The record is from RNAcentral.
AUAAAUAACACUGACACUAUCGAAGUAAUAAGAAGGGUUUUAGUUUGGAGUUUUCAAAUAUGUAUUACAUUAAAAGCUGGACUUUCAGUGAUCACAUGUGGAUAAGAACAUACAGGAAGAUGGUCAGCGCAAUACGGGUUCUACUGCUCAUGUGGAUCAGUCCAAGGACAAAUCCACUCCUAUGGACACCAAAGCAAUCUUCGGGCUGUUUUGGGACAGGGUCCUCAGAUUUUGAUUUUCUGUAACCGGAGUGCCAACCAGGGGAGAUAAUCGCUCUUAAAGAUUUCUAUGCUGGCUCUAAAAAUAAAUCUAUCAACUGCCCCAGCGAAUCAACAGACUUAAACAGGAACCGCACAAAGUGUUGCACACACGCAAAAGACGACUGUCAGUUUGAAUUGCACGGACAAGCAAAGGCCUGGGGUUUUACACCAACUGUACUGGAAGAACUGACUGUAUGCUUAGAGUUGACAGGGUCACUGCAGGGUGGCCAUGUGACUUCCUUACUCACUUGACACAAACUAGUUACAUGCUUAUGAACUACUACUGCAUACCUGGUGAGUUGGUAAUAGACACAAGCAGUGUCACAUUUUGAUCACCUUUUCAACGCCCUGCACAUGUCUCUGUUUGUAACUGGGGUACUAUUCAACUGUUGUCGUGGUCGGCCUAUGGUACGAUACGUAGGGUUGAAUUGAAAAGGAAAAGUUAAUAAAUGUAAAUCUCAUCAAGAACACCAUACUGAAAAUAUGGGAAACUGAUUCAGUGGGGAGUAUCUCCGUUAUAUCACGGCGUGUCAGCUUUAUAUCAAUAGAAACCCAUGAGCACAGGUAUGGUGCCGACAAAUCAGGAACCAUUAUCAGGUCGAACCUUGUAUUUGAAGACCCCGUCAUAGGAAUCAAACCACUUAGGCGACAGGGGCACCUGUGACCACAACAUAAAGAGAAAGCCAUUGCCAAAAGGCCGAAAAGCAAUGGUCAGUGGUCAAUACAUUAUACCACAAUGCUAUGAAUUGGAAGAACGAUGUCAACACUGUACGUAACCACAUGCCCUCAUUCUUACAGUCAAUGUAUAUUGGUGGGAGCAUGGAUGUCCCGGUCGUCUAAGGCACAGCAAUUCGUUGUGCAGGAGUUGCGUCCCUUGGGCACGCCCGAAACCUUUGAUCGUGGGUCGAACCCCGAUUCGUCCCGAUAAUGUUUCUAGGUUUAUCGGCUGUAUCGCAACCAAAGAGAGCGCAUGCGUGUCCAACCGUGACAACACAGGCAACUCCAACAACAACGCGUUACAUGUUGAUAUCUAGGUCACUCAUGGCCUCAGCACCAGCUUAUGCAUCAAGAAACACUCCAGGAGGUAUUUACUUUAAUGUGUAUUUUGUGCAUACUGUAACAUAAUUUUGAUAAUCGGUUAAUUCCAUUUCGGUGCAGCUAUGACGCCACGAGUUGCUUCCCUGGCUUAUGUGCAUAGCCCUUGUUAGUUAUCUCCCCAAACGGGUUAACGGUGAAUCAAGAUGUUUAAAGGUUGCACAAAAUGUAACAGAAAUUAUAUUUUGAUUCUAUUUCGAUGACAAUUGGGCAGAGACAAGUUCAGAGAGUGAAGAACGUUGGACCAUUAUUUAUUCACAACAGUUUGUAACGGGCGUUGCACGUCAUUGAGGACAGUUAUCGCUAACCAGAUGUAUAAAUGAAUGUAUUGAAAGGAUCUCCCUAUUCGAGCAGUGAUCACACACAAUCUAGGUAAGCCUCCUGUGUAACUAUGAAGCUAUUUAGUACACAUAUGCAUGAAGCUUUUGUACUUUAAGACUCAAGUAUGCAGCCCGGUACGAUUGCUGUGAUUGCUGUUGUGGGAAUUUGCUUCCUUGGGAUAAUCUUCUUGGUUGUUCUCUACUGCGUCAAAAAGAAAAAGCUGACGAAGUUUGUAUUUCUUAAACGAGCAACGUCCCUGUGGUUCGUCAGAGAUGCGUCAGACCCCAAACCAACAUGCAGUAUUUCGGAUUAUUGUGUGUUUCUGCUCAGACAGAACCACGAGCACAACAUGGGCCACCCGAACCCGAGAUCCUUCUCAGAUAUCCAGAGAUGAAGCACAGCAUGAUGCUUCUAAAACUGCUGGUCCUGCCAAUCAUGUGAACUUGGACGCAAUGCUUGUUCCACAGAGGUGGUCGGAAUUACCUCCCCUUCGUGAGAUUCUAAACAUCCCCCCAGUUCGUAUGUCCGAGGACAGGUAAACACCCAGGUUUGAUGCCCUCCUGGGAAGUCAGAUUUCCCCUGACGUAAGGACGUCGGCUGCUCCACCGAAGCUGACCCCAAUUAUACCCAGAGCUUCCUGGUGAUGGAGGCUCAAGCUGCCUAACUUAAUUGACAGAGUGUACAGUCCAAUACACGUCUUCUUCAUCACGACCGUAUGGUUUAAACUGAAGUGCAGUAACUAGAUUUCUGUGUUUUGCAAAAUAUGACACCAACAGUCGUCAUUAGUAUACCGAUUCCCGAUGAGGCAAACUCAUAUAGUCCACGUUAAUUAAAUGUAAACGCAGUAUCACGAAUGCAUUUGUUCUGUUCUCUGUGCUAGUAUGUAACAUUUACUCCAUGGCGAGAGAGAUUCUUUAUUUCUUACAGAUGUUAUUCCGAAGAUUACAAUGAAAAUAUAUUCAAUAACACGCGGCUAUGACAAUACAGAAAGGCAUAGCAUCUUUACAAUUCCGCACAGCUUAUGAAAUUCAAAUAUCAAUACGAAGACAGAUAUCCACUUUAAGAUACAUAUCAAGAGAUGCUUUAGUUUGUAAAGAUACUAGGCGAAUUGUAGCAUGAUAGUUUCCCAGAUGUGUUGAUCCAGAUUUUUAAUAAAUUCUGUUUCAGCCCCAAAUAAGAAUGAUGACAUUUCUGUUUCGUCUGACAUUUCGAAAUCAACAAAUAUUUGAACGUCAAGUAACUCAAUGAGAGAAGAGAAUAACGCAGUUCUUUCUGAUAUAAGCGUUUCACAAUGUUAAAUAAUGUUGCUGUCAGGGUCGAAAGCAUGCUUAUUCCAGAACGUGCACCCUUUCGAAAGUUUACUGCGUAAAGAGACUUUCACACAAAGUUGUAAAGCAGGUCGAUAUUCCGGGUACAUGAUAUGUUAAUUUCGUAUGAAUUCUCUUAUAACGGGACAUGCUUGCUUUAUUUGAUACAUGUGUGGGUCAUAAUGGUUCUUAGUAUUUGCAUAAAUGAUAGUUUCAUUAACAAGAUUCCUCCAUAGUUAACGGUUUAUGUUACAUGACUGUACACUCUAGCUAUAACCCUGUACAUGUAAGACCAUUCUCCGUUUUGUUUAAACACGUUAUCGAUAAAUCAUGUCACAGGUUUCAUAUUGACAAUAUUUACGCUACAAACAUGUAAUGUUUGUCAUUCAUGUGAGUGUACAGAUGCAAUCACAGCCAUUACUGCUACGCUGUGAUUGUUUCAUAGUUUGAUACUUACAUGUGUGUCAGAAACGUUUGCGUUCUUUGAGGCAAAUCAAAGACAUAAAUAAAAUAGGGUUAUAAAAUUGCUGAAUUGCUGAAUUGCUGAAUUGCUGAAUUGCACGCACGUACGCAAGCACACAUGAACACAGCUACCCUAAUGCUUCCACUCAUUUCUUAUAAACAGCUAGUUAUGCACUAAUUAGUUAUUCACUAACUUCUGUCCUCAACCCUUAACAGAACGACCGCCUCCGUGGUCUUGUG